Molecule: ribosomal RNA, 433 nt
Filed under: uncultured bacterium
Lineage: Bacteria
Description: partial 16S ribosomal RNA
Rfam family: Bacterial small subunit ribosomal RNA
Source: RNAcentral
AACGAACGCUGGCGGCAUGCCUAACACAUGCAAGUCGAACGAGACCUUCGGGUCUAGUGGCGCAUGGGUGCGUAACGCGUGGGAACCUGCCCUUAGGUUCGGAAUAACUCCCCGAAGGGGGUGCUAAUACCGGAUAAUGUCUUCGGACCAAAGAUUUAUCGUCUUUGGAUGGGCACGCGUUGGAUUAGCUAGUUGGUAGGGUAAAAGCCUACCAAGGCGACGAUCCAUAGCUGGUCUGAGAGGAUGAUCAGCCACACUGGGACUGAGACACGGCCCAGACUCCUACGGGAGGCAGCAGUGGGGAAUAUUGGACAAUGGGCGAAAGCCUGAUCCAGCAAUGCCGCGUGAGUGAUGAAGGCCUUAGGGUUGUAAAGCUCUUUUACCCGGGAUGAUAAUGACAGUACCGGGAGAAUAAGCUCCGGCUAACUCCGUG